This 1386-nucleotide ribosomal RNA is filed under the name uncultured bacterium. RNAcentral's name for it is "bacterial SSU rRNA". It matches the Rfam family "Bacterial small subunit ribosomal RNA". The record is from RNAcentral.
AGAGUUUGAUCCUGGCUCAGGAUGAACGCUGGCGGCGUGCUUAACACAUGCAAGUCGAACGGAGUUUAAGAAGGAAGCUUGCUUUCAUUUUAAACUUAGUGGCGGACGGGUGAGUAACGCGUGAGGAACCUGCCCUUCAGUGGGGAACAACAACUAGAAAUGGUUGCUAAUACCGCAUAAUGUCGGAUUGCCGCAUGACAGACCGAUCAAAGGAUUUAUUCGCUGAAGGAUGGCCUCGCGUCCGAUUAGAUAGUUGGUGAGGUAACGGCCCACCAAGUCUGCGAUCGGUAGCCGAACUGAGAGGUUGAUCGGCCACAUUGGGACUGAGACACGGCCCAGACUCCUACGGGAGGCUGCAGUCGAGAAUUUUGGGCAAUGGGCGAAAGCCUGACCCAGCAAUGCCGCGUGCGGGAUGAAGGUCUUCGGAUUGUAAACCGCUGUCAAGAGGGACGAAAUAUGACGGUACCCCUGAAGGAAGCCACGGCUAACUACGUGCCAGCAGCCGCGGUAAUACGUAGGUGGCGAGCGUUGUUCGGAUUUAUUGGGCGUAAAGGGUCCGCAGGUGGCCGGUUAAGUUUGAUGUGAAAUCCCAGAGCUCAACUCUGGAACUGCAUUGAAGACUGAUCGGCUGGAGUAUCGGAGAGGAGAUUGGAAUUCCAGGUGUAGCGGUGGAAUGCGUAGAUAUCUGGAAGAACACCGAAAGCGCAGGCAGAUCUCUGGACGAUGACUGACACUCAGGGACGAAAGCAUGGGUAGCAAACAGGAUUAGAUACCCUGGUAGUCCAUGCCCUAAACGUUGUCAACUUGAUGUGAGCGGAGUUACUCCCGUUCGUGUCGAAGCUAACGCGAUAAGUUGACCGCCUGGGGACUACGGCCGCAAGGCUAAAACUCAAAGAAAUUGACGGGGGCCCGCACAAGCGGUGGAGCAUGUGGCUUAAUUCGAGGCAACGCGAAGAACCUUACCUGGAUUUGACAUUGAUUGACCGGCGUAGAAAUACGUCUUUCCGCAAGGACAUGAAAACAGGUGCUGCAUGGCUGUCGUCAGCUCGUGAUGUGAAUUGUCCGGUUAAGUCCGACAACGAGCGCAACCCGUGUUGCCAGUUGCCAGCAGGUAAAGCUGGGCACUCUGGCGAGACUGCCCGUGUCAAGCGGGAGGAAGGAGCGGAUGACGUCAAGUCCGUAUGGCCUUUAUAUCCAGGGCUGCACACGUGCUACAAUGGCUGUUACAGAGGGAAGCAAUACCGUGAGGUGGAGCUGAUCCGUAAAAGCAGCCUUAGUUCAGAUUGCAGUCUGCAACUCGACUGCAUGAAGCCGGAAUCGCUAGUAAAGGCGUAUCAGCCACGACGCCUUGAAUACGUUCCCGGGCCUUGUACACACCGCCCGUCA